RNA transcript from Corylus avellana, 2038 nucleotides. It is a transcript of the gene named Ras-induced vulval development antagonist protein, with no coding region annotated. Lineage: Eukaryota; Viridiplantae; Streptophyta; Magnoliopsida; Fagales; Betulaceae. The record is from RefSeq and is a predicted model, not a curated record.
UGCCAAGAAGCCCAAAACAAGCCUUCAGAACAAACGACCCGCUCUGGUUAUUCGUCAAAUCUUCGUUUAGAAUGGGAAGGCCAGCAUCCACGAUCGAAGUCCCCGAGAGACGACAUCGUUCCAACGGCCGGUACACACCGGACUCCGACUACAUCCGUCACCGGCGCAGCCCCAGCUAUGACGUCUACGACCGCCACGAUAACCACCAGCGCCGCCGGCUCCGCUCUCCCGACAGAAGCCCAAGCCCAAACCCUAGACGAAGCCCUAGGCCCAACAAAGCCUUGGACGACGCGUUGCCCAAGCGAUUCGGCCGGCCUUACCUCGACCGCGACCACCGGAACGGGACCCGCUCGGACUCGGAGUCCGACGAGGAACUAAAGGGCCUGACCUAUGAAGAGUACCGGAGGCUCAAAAGGCAGAAGAUGCGGAAGGCACUGAAGCAUUGUAUUUGGAACGUGACGCCGAGCCCGCCGAGGGACGAAAACGAUGAGUUGGAGGAGACGGAGGAGGAGAAAGCCGAGGAGAUCUCGGACAAGUACGGUGGAGAUAGCGGGGGCAAGAGCGAUUCGAGUUUCAAAGAGAAAGAGAAAGAAAAAGAGAGUAAUCGGAAAAGGAAAUCCGACUCCGAGUCUGAAGAAUCGGAGACCGAGUCUGAAUCCGAUGAUUCCCGGUCGAGAAGGAAGAGGAAAAGUUCGAUUUCUAAGCGUAGAAAUAGAAAAUACGAAUCGGUCGAGAGCGAGAGCGAGACUGAAUCUGAGGAAGAUCGAAAGCAUAGAAAGAAAUCAAGGAAAAGGAGUAAUCGCAGUAGUAGGAGGAGCAAGAGAAGUAGUAGUAGUAAAAGAAGAAGAAGAAAAAGGAGUAGGCAUAGCAGCGAUCCAGACGAGAUCGAGGAGAAUUCUGAUGCGAGUGAUCGAGUCAGGUCGAAGAAAAAGCGGUCUUUGAGCGCGAAUUCUGAUUCUGAGGUUGAAGAAAUGAGUAAGGCGAAGGCAGAGGAGGCAAAAAUGAUUGCCGAAAUCGAUGUAGAGGCAUUGCGGUUUAAGGAAAUGAUUGAGGCGCAGAAGAAGCCACCGCCGGCUUUGGAUAACGAACAGGUGGUUGGGCCAAUGCCGCUGCCAAGAGCCGAAGGGCAUAUUAGCUACGGUGGGGCGCUUAGGCCCGGAGAAGGUGAUGCCAUUGCGCAGUAUGUGCAGCAAGGGAAGCGUAUCCCAAGAAGAGGUGAGGUCGGUCUGUCUGCGGACGAGAUUCAGAAGUUUGAGACUCUGGGGUAUGUGAUGAGUGGUAGUAGGCACCAGAGGAUGAAUGCCAUUCGUAUUAGGAAGGAAAACCAGGUUUAUAGUGCCGAGGAUAAGAGGGCAUUGGCGAUGUUUAAUUACGAAGAGAAGGCGAAGCGCGAGCACAAGGUUAUGGCUGAUUUGCAGCGGUUAGUGCAGCGUCAUAUAGGGCAGGAUGUCGGUCCUACUCAUGAUCCCUUUGGUGCAAAGGCCUCAUCAGAUGUUGCUGAUGCUUGAUUUUACGUAUUUGGUAGAUUUGGUCAGAUGUUGGAUCAGAUAUUUAUCUUAGUGAAAUUCCUCCAGAGGUUGAAUGGAAUUCUAAGCUAGCUGUGGCAUUUUUCAUAAUGGAUGAGUGCUUUUUAACUGUUGUUGACCACAGAAGUGGAGUCAAUCUGAUCCAUAAUAUUCUCUAUAAUUGUGGGUCAAAUUUUACUCGUCUAAAUUAUAGUGUUUUUUUAAACUGCAAUACUUGAGAGGGGUGACGAAAUCAUCUCUGCAGCAUCCAUCAGUUGUUGGAGACUGCCUCCAUCCUAGCAGAGCCUUCGAAUACAACCUACCACUGCCGAAGCCUUUCUCCCUCUCACUGAAAAAGGAUCACCUUACGAGCAUACAAACCUCUACGCCUAGCGCUGAAGGACGAUUCGAAAAAAGAUGAGACCUUUCGCAUCUCAAGAAAACUUCUCCAACCGUUACCUUAUCGGCCUUCCGGUAUACAAUGAAGCCUCGCCGCCCACCAUUGCCAUAUUUCGCCAGAGCCAGAAAACAGU